UACGAGGGGGGCAAGCGUUGUUCGGAAUUAUUGGGCGUAAAGGGCGCGUAGGCGGUUUGACAAGUCUUAUGUGAAAUCUCUGGGCUCAACCCAGAGUCUGCAUGGGAAACUGUCGGGCUUGAGUAUGGGAGAGGUGAGUGGAAUUUCCGGUGUAGCGGUGAAAUGCGUAGAUAUCGGAAGGAACACCUGUGGCGAAAGCGGCUCACUGGACCAUAACUGACGCUGAGGCGCGAAAGCGUGGGGAGCAAACAGG
RNAcentral lists this ribosomal RNA (253 nucleotides) under uncultured bacterium. RNAcentral describes it as "partial 16S ribosomal RNA". It matches the Rfam family "Bacterial small subunit ribosomal RNA", at positions 524 to 776 of the family's 1533-position model. The record is from RNAcentral.